CCAUUUGACGAUAGCGCAAGCGCAGCGCUAUAUUCGCCCACAACUUCAGUUCGGUCAACUUCGUCUUCGUCAUUUAGUGGUGACCGAAACUUCGAUGUGUGUGGUAGUGAAGUUAACUUUUCUAACGUAGUAUUCUCACAAAAUAACAAUAACCAAUUACUAAAGUACAAUUUCGUAUUGAACGUGUUUAUAUAAACAUUUAACGUGCCUUUAGUUGAAUAAAUAGUAAUCAAAAUGUGUGAUAAUACCAAUCCUUCGACACAAAGUAUAGCGGACUACUUAGCUCAGUUGCUCAAAGACAGGAAGCAACUGGCUGCGUUCCCGAAUGUUUUCAUGCACAUGGAGCGACUUCUGGAUGAAGAAAUAGCAAAAGUACGAGCAAGCUUAUUCCAAAUAAAUGGAGUCAAGAAGGAACCACUUGUUCUCCCAGAGCCAGAGGGCAUGGUCACCACACUGACAGAAAAAGUAUAUGUACCAGUAAAAGAACAUCCAGAUUUCAACUUUGUGGGAAGGAUUCUCGGACCAAGAGGUAUGACUGCAAAACAGCUAGAACAGGAAACUGGAUGUAAAAUUAUGGUCAGGGGCAAAGGCUCAAUGCGGGAUAAGAAGAAGGAGGAUGCGAACAGGGGUAAGCCGAAUUGGGAGCAUCUCGCUGACGAUUUGCACGUACUGCUCACAGUCGAAGACACAGAGAACAGAGCAAAGAUAAAGUUGGCCAGAGCUGUUGAUGAGGUUAAACGCCUGUUGGUUCCUCAAGCGGACGGUGAAGACGAACUGAAGAAACGUCAGUUAAUGGAAUUGGCCAUUAUAAAUGGCACGUACCGUGACUCGAGCACGAAAGCCGUCGUGCCCGUCAACGGUCAGUGCUUAAUAAGUGAAUCCACAGCCGAUGAAGAAUGGCGACGUGUAGCCGCAGAAACCCAGCGGUUAUUGGCGCCAACUGGCGGAGUGGGUGGCGUGGGCAGUGUUGCUCUUCGCACAUCAGCGCCUUUGGGAGCUCCAUUGAUACUGUCUCCACGCAUACCGACAGCACCUGGUGGGCAAGCUGGGUUGCUUAAUGGUACAGGCGCUGGUGCUGCCGCUGGUCUUCUGUCUCCCGGGGAACCGUCUCACCAGUUGAUCUACGCGUCACCAUAUGCUGACUACGCUAACUACGCAGCCCUGACAGCGGCUGCCAAUCCGCUGCUGACAGCGGAGUACGCCGCCGCCGACCAUACGGCGUCGAGAUAUCUACUUGCUGGCUUUUGACAUUGGCCACAAUUGCAGACCGCAAUAAGAUACGACAGGCUUCCAACUUCAUCGUUACGGUCAUCGCAACAUUUUUAGGACCUGGCAAAUUGCAGUCAAAUAUCUUACCAUAGACUAUCAAAUCGACUUUAGUUCUACUGCCUGUUUAAAUUACCAUAGAUAAGUCUGGGUGUGGUAUUUCGAUAUGCGUGUCCGCAAGACCUAACCGUCCUUGACAAAUUGUUUUUUUAAACGCCUCUUCUAAAGUCAUAAGAGCCAUUAACAAGUUAGAUUUAAGUUUUACUUUAAGAACGAUUUUAUUUAGUGACUCGAUCAUAUUGUACCUACGUUAUGUUUUUAAUUUAAAAACCAACUUUGUUUUUUCUUUAGCCGUUUUGUACAGUCAUACAAAGUAUAUUUUAUAUCUCAACAAACAAAGAAUAUUAUUUAUUUAUUAUAAAGCAUUAUAAAUUAUUUACACGAAGUAAUAUAAAUGAUAUAUUUAUUUUAAAGUUUUCAUAACAGUGUUUGAAGGCAGUUGAUUUGAAUAAAUAUUGUAGUUGAAUAAUUCUGAAACUGCCAAUAGAACUUAUAAGUUACCGAUUUUCGAUAUACAAAGACAUAGAACUUUAUAUACAUUAUAUUAUUAUACCAUAUGUAUAGUCGCAUUGAUUAAAAAACACUUAAUUUUCUAAAGUUUUUGUGAUAACCCUCGCUUGUAAUACAACUAAUCAAAUAACAUUUUGUUAAUUUUUAUUCGCACAUAGUACCGGCUUUAUUGCGAGGUAUCACAAUUAAAGAAAAUAUACUUCCUUGUGAGACAUUGUAAGAUUACUUUAUAAAUGAACACAAAAUAUAACAUCUAGUUCAUAAAGCUUUAAAACACCAGAAUUGGCAUAAAAAUACUUGCAAAAGCCGGUUCUUUUCAUAAUAUACUUUAGAUACCUAUUAAUAACAUUGGUGACAUAUCUUGCAUGUCAUACAUUUGAUCCUUAUUAGAUUUCCCGAAUGUGAUUAACAUGACUUUUUUUUCUUUUUUUUUUAUUAACUGUAAAAAUCUCUGAAUGGCGAAAUAAUUAUUAAUAAUUCAGUGAUUACAAGCAAAGGGACCAAAUACAAAUUGAAUAUUUAUUACAAGCAACACAAUCGUAAUAUAUUUAACUAUUAACCACACUGAUUACUAAAAAUCCCAUAAACAUUCAAUUUUAGACAUUGACGAACAACAUUCUAGACAAUUAUAAAUUUUCAACAUUACAAUGAUAACACAACAUUUUAUAUUUAGAAUUAUAAUGUUAUGUUAUUGUUGUAGCAAUGUCAUAAUUUAUUAAUUUAUUAGCCAUAUUAUUAUAUUUAUAAACAUACCAUAGGUUUAAGUAUUAUUUUUUAUCUUUUAAAGAUUUUUUAGUUAGUUUAGAAAAGAGUGAGCUUUAUGAAAAAUCAAUCAGCCGUAACCUACAGUAAUAUUAUAUAGGUCAUUAUUCUCUAUUCUUGUAGCCGAGUCAGAUUAUUAUUUAAAAUGUUCUUAUAUUAUUAAUUUCUGUACGAUACGAUCAAAUGAGAUUGAAAAUUUUAUUUUUUAUUUCCAAAGCAAUAAUUAUAGAUAAAAUUUAGGCGUAUAUAAGCAUAAUACUUGAAGUUAGUGAUACUGCCAAGCUUCUUUAAUAUAUAUGUAAAACAUUUCAAACGCUACGAACAUUUGGUAGUUGUUAUUAUUUACAGAUUACAAAUUAAGAAUUGUAUGAAAGGAAUGCCGUUAAAUUAAUGAGAUUAAUUUCUUUUCAGCAUUUAUAUAUUUAGUUUUUUACAGGCAACCUAGGCACUUCAAAAAAAACAGUUUAAAUAUCUGAAAUCAUAUUUUUCAUUCCAUGAUAAUGAUUAUAAUAAAAGUAUAAUAUUUUUAAUUAUAUUCGUCUUGUACAUGAACAUCACAUUUAAAGUGAAUAUUUUUUGUAAAAUUUACGUAAAGCCUGGGUGCCGCUCAACGGUUAUUGGUUGAAACUUCAUAAUGCUCUGUUCAGACACAGAUAAUAAAUAUCCUAUGCCGCUAGGUAUCGUGCGGAGGGCGGGACGGCUGACGCAGGUGAGGGAGCACCCUUACCAGCGCACUGCCUUACCGGCGCCUUAAUUCCCGCCAAAACGCUCUCACGCCGCCAUUUUGUUAACAAGGUGAGUGCUAAUGGCGCCGAGGCAUUAACAGAAGAAACGGUCGCCUGCCCGCACAGGACCCUAUGUCGCCGCGUAACAUAUUCAUCGGAACAUCGACCACCAUGUAGCUAUAGCUGUUGGGCCUUUCACGUUAACAUGUAAUAUGUAUUUUAAUAGUCUAACUAUUAACAUUUAUAUGCCUGUUAUGUUUAUAACAAGAUGAACUUUAUUAACAAUUUAUAUUAUAUUUCUUUUUGAAGUGGCACACGCCAUCGACUAUAUUUACUGUAUUGUAACAUUGUACUUCUGUUGUCGCUUGACCGUAUUGUUGUUGGAGCACGAGUGUUGUUAGGUUACCCUAUCUACCGCGGCGCUAAAUUUGUUUAAUAAAUUUUUAGUAUUUAGUUAUUUAUUAGAUCUAGUUAUAUAUUAUAUUCUCGAAAUAUAGAAAGUAUCGUUUUGUUGAGCAGAAAAUUUGGCGCCGUCGAAAUAUUAUUAUGAUGGUUUAGAAAUUAUUUUUAAACCGUUUCAAUUUAGAUGAUUUAAAGUUUUAGAAGUGUGGUUCAAUGUAGUUGACGUAAAACUGGAAUCAAAUUUAGUUAAACUGUCUGCUAUUUGAAUGCAUGUUUAUUUAUACAGAAACAUGAAUAAGAUUUUUAUAUUUUAACUUCUACAAUUUUUUAAAUGAUUUAUGUGUUAAGUAUAGUACAAAUUACAUAAAUAUUCGGAUUCGGGAGAUGAGAAGAAACAUCGCUUCUCCAGAUAACAAACAAGAGGCAGGGUAGAGGUAACUGGAUGUAAGUAUAAGUGUAUUAGGUAUUAAUCUGCAAAAUUAUAGUUUAGCACGUUUUCAUUGGACUGAUAAUCGAAUAUUAUAUUUAUGUAUUUCAUUUACUUAUUGACUCUAAAACCGCUUUGGGAAUCCCUUAUUAAACUUGAACCAAAGAAUAUUUUUAAAAAUUGGUCAUUGGAAAUUUUGAUACGUUUUAAUAUUUGAACAAAAUUCAAGAUGUCUUCCUUCAUAAACGAUAUCGGUCGAUGAGUAAAUGAAUUCGUAUUCGUGAUUAGUUCUUUUUUUAAAUAAUUAUAUUUUAUAAUCUGUAGUGCUUGAUAUUUAUACAUAACAAAUCGUAUAUUGCACAUCCCAAGUGCCUUAAUAAUUAAUGUACAAUGUUUUCAUUUUUGUGGUUCUAUAAAACUGUUAUAUUGAUUAUUUAAUAAUAAAGUAAAGUUAGAAGAGAUUAAAUUAUUGUUAACUUUGCUUAAUGUUAAUGUUUAUACUUUGUCUUGAAUCAUUUUAGGCAAUUAGUUGUAUUUUUGUAUAUGUAGUUGUUUCUCAAGACUAUAUGUCUCGUGAAACAUAUUAUAAAUCAUUACAUUAAAGCCUUCGUUGCAAUCUCCUGUAAGAAUCUCCUGAUAAUAAUUAUUAUCUCUAUCAGAAUAUCACAGAUCAAUCUUUUUAGCGUGUUUGGUGUCUUAAUAAUACAGUAAAUAUUACUCGAAAAUUUAAAAUGUUUAAGCAAUCGCAACUGGGGCAAUUAUAUUCAUAUAGUUAAUUGUUAUGUACAUAGAGCUAUGUAUUGUUAAAAGCAAUAAUAUUUCAAUAAUUUACUAUAUUAAUGCUAGUGCAAUAGAUGUUAUUUCAAAUUAAUAUUUUAUAGAAAAUUCUCAUUAUUUGAGCAAUUAUCAAAAGUAAGAGAGAUCUGAUGUUGAGAUUAACAAAAUACUAUAGUAAAAUUUAAUCACAUGUUACAAUUGAGAACGAAAAUUUAUACCUUAAAUUUUAUUUAGAAAUAAGAAUAAAUAUAAAAUAUAACUUUUCACGGGAAAAAAAUUAUAAAAAAAAAAUCGUUGUCUUUAAGUGCCUUAUUUGAAUCUUUAGAAUAUUGUCAAAUUGCAUUGAAAUAUAAAAUAAUUGUAUCAAAAUAUCGACAAGAGUAUGUUAAUUUUUUUAGGAAAACAUAAAAUUUUUAUUAGCCAUUUAUUCGAAUUGUAUAAUCCUUGAAGUCGUUAACACACUCCGUCCAUGAUUACUUCAUUAUUUAAGUACUUAAUAUGUUGGUCACUCACUCGUAUAAAUGACCAUAAAUAUCGCUGUGUAAUUUAUACAUUAUGCAAUGUAUACAUCUGUGUUAACAUCUGAAUCUUAUUAACGCCUUUCGUAAAGUUUUUUUUUUUAAAUUGAAUCUGUAAAUUAAAAUUCCCUAGAUAUUAUCUGUACCUCAUACAAUCGUUAUUUUGCAAUAGAAACCAUAUUAUAUCUAAGUUUUUAAAACUUAUUUGUUGCGACAAUUGCUGUGUUAUUUUUUUAUGCGGUGCUAUAAACUGCAUCAUCAUAAAUUUCUGGCAACAUCUUAGAUCAGAAAAGAAAAAUCACUUAAAUAGAAUUAUGUUUGAAUCGAGUUUUAACAUUAUAUAAUAUAUUUUAACAUUAAACCUUUAACACCCAUUAUUUUAAAUCGAGUGUAAGUUAAACCAUAAUAAUUUCUGUAGCAUUUGGCUGUACCUACAACUACGGUACAAAAAAUAGCAUUUAAAAAAAAAUAAUCAGAUGCCAUACAGUUUUCUCAUGAAAAAUUGAACAUCUAUAUAAUAUCAAUAUAAUAUCGUGAUUAAUAAAAGUAAACGUACAAAGUUUUUGAAAGUCUGUGUAUAGUUAUUUUACAAUGUUUCACACGAUUUAUUGUUCCUUGAAACAUUUUUUGUGCCAUCAUCAGACGGACUUUCGUGUUUUUUUUUUAAUUAUAUUUGUACUUAUACCUACAAUGGCAAAUCACAAAUGUGCCUUAAAAUGAACUUUGUAAAUAAAUAUAUACUAUAAUUUCAAUGAAGUAUUAAAGGAGAAUAAAUUCUUACAAUUGUUUUCCAAAAACAAAAUAGAGUAUAUCUACUUUUAUAGCUUAGUUAAGUGAGAUUGUGCAUAUUACUUAUGUCUGUUUUGAUGUGUGUUUAAGAUUGAUUUGGCAUUAGUAAAUAUAUUAUUUGGAAAAAAUCAA
Vanessa tameamea is the source of this 6368-nucleotide RNA transcript. It is a transcript of the gene named held out wings, with no coding region annotated. The record is from RefSeq and is a predicted model, not a curated record. The transcript is spliced from 8 exons. NCBI's taxonomy places the organism in Eukaryota, Metazoa, Arthropoda, Insecta, Lepidoptera, Nymphalidae.